AUUAGACAAAACUUCGAUUCGUA
RNAcentral lists this small nuclear RNA (23 nucleotides) under Arabidopsis thaliana (thale cress). RNAcentral describes it as "snRNA_10855". Lineage: Eukaryota; Viridiplantae; Streptophyta; Magnoliopsida; Brassicales; Brassicaceae. The record is from RNAcentral.